Molecule: long non-coding RNA, 263 nt
Filed under: Carica papaya (papaya)
Lineage: Eukaryota; Viridiplantae; Streptophyta; Magnoliopsida; Brassicales; Caricaceae
Description: long non-coding RNA (CPAP_LNC005121)
Source: RNAcentral
CCGUUCUUCUUUUCCUCAUCUCUUUCUCUCUCUAGAUUAGUCUCUCUCUAAACUCUUGGAAGGUGGAAGAAUGGAAGUAGUGAAAAAAUGGGAGGAAGGGCCCCUAUUUAUAGAAAAUGGGGGCCGUUAGAUUUGUACCAAGUGGCGAAAUUCAGUGAAGAGAGAGAGUGUUGAAAUAAAAAAAUGCUUGAUUUAAUGCAACACAAAAAACAGAGGAGAAAUUCCCUCCAUAGGCGGCGACAACUAUCUGAGGCAGCAGCGUG